UUGGAGCAUUAUUCACCCCCCUUCAUAACAACAUUUCAUGAUGUGUUUGGUACAAAUAGAUUCCUCCAGUCUUCUAGACUCUGAAACGGAGCCUGCUACAGCCUCUUAAAGCAAUCUCUUGACUAAACCAGUUGUUACGCAUCACAAUUAUGCAAGCAGAAAAACUCAGCUACCAUGUGUUAAACUGAAUGAAAUAGGCUCUUCAAAGCUGUAUGGGGUAAUUUGAGAGGGAUCCGGCCCCUAACUUUCCACAUGUGCAUAGUUGUGCCAGCCAAUAAAGUCCAAGUUGCUCAAGACACCCAACCCCCAGUCUCUUAAUUGCAGAUAGUGUUUCUUUCCCUCCUAUCUUGCUGCUGCAGAGGAGUUUUAUUCAUCUCAUUUUAACCACACCCACGAAUCAUAAAAGGGUGUGGGGCACAACCAGCACCAGCCGUUGGUUCCAGACAGGCCAGCAAAGCACAAGUCCCAUCCACUUAAAGCGAGACAGAGAGCUACUAUGGAAGGAGGCCAGGCCCGUGCUGUGGCUCCAUCCUACCUUGGAUGGUCCAUCUUUACCACUUUAUGCUGUUGUUUGCCUCUUGGGAUUGCAGCUAUCAUCUUUUCCUCGAAGGCCCAAUCUGCUAAUGGUGUCGGGGAAUCAGCACGAGCUGCUGAUGCAUCAAGGACAGCCAAGUCCCUAAACAUCGCCGGACUUGUUUGUGGAAUAAUUUUGAUCAUCAUAUUUGUCGCUAUCAAAGCCACUCAAGGGUGAAGACAGCAUAUGCCGUGCCUGUUUUGCCAGCAGAUGUGUCGGAAAUCUCAGCAGAGCUUUUGUUGCCGUAAACUUCCCCUCGGCCACGCCCUGGACUAAACAGAAACAGAUGUCUGCAUGUGUGCACGCACCAGUCGUGCAUGUGUUUUUUCCUUUGUUUAUCUUUUAAUCAAGCGCCUGUAGAAUCAUGCCAGGAAUUUCCUUGUAAUGCAAGCCUGUGAUGGUAAACAUCAAAACACAUGUUUUUUGUAUAAGAAAAAAAAAUGCCUUGUCUAAAAAAAAAUAAACAAUAUACCAUGAA
Molecule: long non-coding RNA, 1052 nt
Organism: Centropristis striata (black sea bass)
Lineage: Eukaryota; Metazoa; Chordata; Actinopteri; Perciformes; Serranidae
Exons: 2
Source: RefSeq, a predicted model, not a curated record